Molecule: long non-coding RNA, 457 nt
Organism: Xyrauchen texanus (razorback sucker)
Lineage: Eukaryota; Metazoa; Chordata; Actinopteri; Cypriniformes; Catostomidae
Exons: 3
Source: RefSeq, a predicted model, not a curated record
UAAGAUGCAAUCUUGUGUUAUAAGUAUUAGGCUAUCAUGAUUAUACAGUGAGCAAGCUAUAUAAAUAAGUAUUUAAUAUAAUAAAAGUGUAGAGCAACAACCGAGGGUGUAAGGUAAAGGCUGAAUAUUGUAGAUUUAUUACAAUAUGUUGCAUGUUUGAAUUAAAAUACCUGUGGAUAUGCAGGAGCACACACUCUACAAAGGCCUGACUGGAGAUUUGCCUGAUCUAUCCGUCCUUCAGGUGACAGCGGCUCACUUCAAGAGCAGGUGAAGCAAGUUGGGACAAUGUUGAAGACAUUUGCUCGCACUGGGCAAUCGGGUGCAGAUCAAACCCUAAUGCUGCAACGUCUUGGAGUUUGGCGAUGUUGUGCGUAGCAUGGACAACAAAAUGCUAUGCUGUAACAUUUCAGUGCCAAUGUGUCUGUUGGAGAGUUAUCCCUGCCAGGGGAUCUGUUAC